CCUGGUUGAUCCUGCCAGUAGUCAUAUGCUUGUCUUAAAGAUUAAGCCAUGCAUGUCUAAGUAUAAGCAUUUAUACCGCGAGACUGCGAACGGCUCAUUAAAACAGUUAUGGUUUAUUUGAUGGUUCCUUUGCUACUUGGAUAACCGUAGUAAUUCUAGAGCUAAUACAUGCACGAAGGGGCGACUUACGAAGCCCUGUAUUUAUUAGAUUAAAGCCAACCACCUCCGGGUGUCCGUGGUGAAUCAUAGUAACUUAUCGGAUCGCCGGCUCUAUGCCAGCGACGUGUCAUUCAAAUUUCUGCCCUAUCAGCUUUAGAUGGUAGGAUAUGGGCCUACCAUGGCGGUGACGGGUAACGGAGAAUUAGGGUUCGAUUCCGGAGAGGGAGCCUGAGAAACGGCUACCACUUCUAAGGAAGGCAGCAGGCGCGCAAAUUACCCAAUCCUGACUCAGGGAGGUAGUGACAAGAAAUAACAAUAAACCGGCUUAUGCCGGUUUAAUUGGAAUGAGUACAAUUUAAACAUCUUAACGAGGAACAAUUGGAGGGCAAGUCUGGUGCCAGCAGCCGCGGUAAUUCCAGCUCCAAUAGCGUAUACUAAAGUUGUUGCAGUUAAAAAGCUCGUAGUUGGAUUUCUGUGGGGACGGGGCGGCCGGCCGCAACUCGCGGUUCGAGCUAGCACUUUCCCUACAUCCUGCCGCGAACCGUGCUACCAUUAGUUUGGUGGCGCUGGGGAUCGGCUCGAUUACUUUGAGAAAAAUAGAGUGUUCAAAGCAGGCCACACGCCUUGAAUAAGUUAGCAUGGAAUAAUAACUAAGGACUUCGGUUCUAUUUUGUUGGUGUUCGGGACUGAAGUAAUGAUUGAUAGGGACAGUUGGGGCGGUCAGUAUUCCAAAGCGAGAGGUGAAAUUCUUAGACCUUCGGAAGACUAACAGCUGCGAAAGCGUUCCGCAAGGAUGUUCCCUUUGAUCAAGAACGAAAGUUGGGGGAUCGAAGACGAUCAGAUACCGUCGUAGUCUCAACUAUAAACUAUACCAGCUAGGGAUCGGCCAACGUUAUUUUAUACCGACUUGGUCGGCACCUUAUGAGAAAUCAAAGCAUCUGGGUUCCGGGGGGAGUAUGGUCGCAAGGCUGAAACUUAAAGGAAUU
This 1145-nucleotide ribosomal RNA is filed under the name marine metagenome. Its description in RNAcentral is "SSU rRNA". It matches the Rfam family "Eukaryotic small subunit ribosomal RNA", at positions 3 to 1154 of the family's 1831-position model. The record is from RNAcentral.